GACGAACCGAGCGAACGUUAUUCGGAAUCACUGGGCUUAAAGGGCGCGUAGGCGGGCCGUCAAGUCGAGGGUGAAAUCCCCCAGCUCAACUGGGGAAGUGCCUCCGAUACUGGCGGCCUCGAGGGGAUAGGGCAUGCGGAACUUCCGGUGGAGCGGUGAAAUGCGUAGAUAUCGGAAGGAACACCGGUGGCGAAAGCGGCGUGCUGGAUCCCUUCUGACGCUGAGCGCGAAGCCAGGGAG
RNAcentral lists this ribosomal RNA (240 nucleotides) under uncultured bacterium. RNAcentral describes it as "partial 16S ribosomal RNA". It matches the Rfam family "Bacterial small subunit ribosomal RNA", at positions 524 to 766 of the family's 1533-position model. The record is from RNAcentral.